AGAUUGAACGCUAGCGGGAUGCUUUACACAUGCAAGUCGAACGGCAGCGCGGACUUCGGUCUGGCGGCGAGUGGCGAACGGGUGAGUAAUAUAUCGGAACGUGCCCAGUAGCGGGGGAUAACUACGCGAAAGCGUGGCUAAUACCGCAUACGCCCUACGGGGGAAAGGGGGGAUUCUUCGGAACCUCUCACUAUUGGAGCGGCCGAUAUCAGAUUAGCUAGUUGGUGAGGUAAAGGCUCACCAAGGCGACGAUCUGUAGCUGGUUUGAGAGGACGACCAGCCACACUGGGACUGAGACACGGCCCAGACUCCUACGGGAGCAGCAGUGGGAAUUUGGACAAUGGGGGAAACCUGAUCCAGCCAUCCCGCGUGUGCGAUGAAGGCC
This 385-nucleotide ribosomal RNA is filed under the name uncultured soil bacterium. RNAcentral describes it as "bacterial SSU rRNA". It matches the Rfam family "Bacterial small subunit ribosomal RNA", at positions 26 to 416 of the family's 1533-position model. The record is from RNAcentral.